RNAcentral lists this ribosomal RNA (514 nucleotides) under uncultured bacterium. RNAcentral's name for it is "partial 16S ribosomal RNA". It matches the Rfam family "Bacterial small subunit ribosomal RNA", at positions 28 to 523 of the family's 1533-position model. The record is from RNAcentral.
GAUGAACGCUGGCGGCGUGCCUAAUACAUGCAAGUCGAGCGAACAGAUGAGAAGCUUGCUUCUCUGAUGUUAGCGGCGGACGGGUGAGUAACACGUGGGUACCCUACCUAUAAGACUGGGAUAACUCCGGGAAACCGGGGCUAAUACCGGAUAAUAUUUUGAACCGCAUGGUUCGAUAGUGAAAGACGGUUUCGGCUGUCACUUAUAGAUGGACCCGCGCCGUAUUAGCUAGUUGGUAAGGUAACGGCUUACCAAGGCGACGAUACGUAGCCGACCUGAGAGGGUGAGCGGCCACACUGGAACUGAGACACGGUCCAGACUCCGACGGGAGGCAGCAGUAGAGAAUCUUCCGCAAUGGGCGAAAGCCUGACGGAGCAACGCCGCGUGAGUGAUGAAGGUCUUCGGAUCGUAAAACUCUGUUGUUAGGGAAGAACAAAUUUGUUAGUAACUGAACAAGUCUUGACGGUACCUAACCAGAAAGCCACGGCUAACUACGUGCCAGCAGCAGCCGCGG